AUUGAACGCUGGCGGCAUGCUUUACACACGCAAGUCGAACGGUAACAGGCCGCAAGGUGCUGACGAGUGGCGAACGGGUGUGUAAUGCAUCGGAACGUGCCCAGUCGUGGGGGAUAACUACUCGAAAGAGUAGCUAAUACCGCAUACGAUCUAUGGAUGAAAGCGGGGGACCGUAAGGCCUCGCGCGAUUGGAGCGGCCGAUGUCAGAUUAGGUAGUUGGUGGGGUAAAGGCUCACCAAGCCAACGAUCUGUAGCUGGUCUGAGAGGACGACCAGCCACACUGGGACUGAGACACGGCCCAGACUCCUACGGGAGGCAGCAGUGGGGAAUUUUGGACAAUGGGCGCAAGCCUGAUCCAGCAAUGCCGCGUACAGGAAGAAGGCCUUCGGGUUGUAAACUGCUUUUGUACGGAACGAAACGGCUCUGGUUAAUACCCGGGGCUAAUGACGGUACCGUAAGAAUAAGCACCGGCUAACUACGUG
This 482-nucleotide ribosomal RNA is filed under the name uncultured bacterium. RNAcentral's name for it is "partial 16S ribosomal RNA". It matches the Rfam family "Bacterial small subunit ribosomal RNA", at positions 30 to 507 of the family's 1533-position model. The record is from RNAcentral.